RNAcentral lists this ribosomal RNA (274 nucleotides) under uncultured bacterium. Its description in RNAcentral is "partial 16S ribosomal RNA". It matches the Rfam family "Bacterial small subunit ribosomal RNA", at positions 523 to 796 of the family's 1533-position model. The record is from RNAcentral.
AUACGGAGGGUCCAAGCGUUAUCCGGAUGCAUUGGGUUUAAAGGGUCCGCAGGCGGGAAAAUAAGUCAGUGGUGAAAGCCUACAGCUCAACUGUAGAACUGCCAUUGAUACUGUUUUUCUUGAGUAUAGAUGAAGUGGGCGGAAUAUAUCAUGUAGCGGUGAAAUGCAUAGAUAUGAUAUAGAACACCGAUUGCGAAGGCAGCUCACUAAACUAUUACUGACGCUCAGGGACGAAAGCGUGGGGAGCGAACAGGAUUAGAAACCCUAGUAGUCC